RNAcentral lists this ribosomal RNA (380 nucleotides) under uncultured eukaryote. RNAcentral describes it as "partial 18S ribosomal RNA". It matches the Rfam family "Eukaryotic small subunit ribosomal RNA", at positions 592 to 976 of the family's 1831-position model. The record is from RNAcentral.
CAAUAGCGUAUAUUAAAGUUGUUGCAGUUAGAACGCUCGUAGUCGGAUUUCGGGGCGGGCCGACCGGUCUGCCGAUGGGUACGCACUGGUCGGCGCGUCCUUCCUUCCGGAGACCGUGCCUACUCUUAACUGAGCGGGGGCGGGAGACGGAACGUUUACUUUGAAAAAAUCAGAGUGUUUCAAGCAGGCAGUGCGCUCUUGCAUGGAUUAGCAUGGGAUAAUGAAAUAGGACUUUGGUGCUAUUUUGUUGGUUUCGAACACCGAAGUAAUGAUUAAAAGGGACAGUCAGGGGCACUCGUAUUCCGCCGAGAGAGGUGAAAUUCUCAGACCAGCGGAAGACGAACCACUGCGAAAGCAUUUGCCAGGGAUGUUUNCACUGG